AUAUGCGAUCAGCACUCCAAAAUGAUGGUUUACACUAAUUUGAAGGGUGAGGUAUGAAUUCAUUGAAAGGAUGAGGCCAGGAGUACUUUCAAUAUUUUACUCUGAACCAAAAUGUUGACACAUUGCAAGAAUUUAAUAGUUUCACAGUGAUAGCAAAGCGGGCCAGCUGGUAGUACAAGCAAAUCAAACUUUCUCUUCUCCUGAGGUCUGUUACUGCAUUCAGCAAAGCUUCUUUUCCACCCUCACUUGACACUGAUACAAGAACACACUGAGUCAAGUAGACUGGGGAAAUGAAAUGGACUCAUCAGAUGCUGUUUUCUUUAAACAAUUAAAAACCAGUUGCCAAAAUGAUUUUGGAUUUUCACUUUAUUCUGCUUCUUGAUUGGAAACCUAACUGGUAGUCAAAGUCUAAGGAAAUAUUUUUAAACAUGUUGGCUGUUGGCAUGUGCCUUGUUUUGUCUUUCAGAAGCCAAUGUGAGCACAUCAAUUCAAGUGAAUUCGACAGCCAGAGGUUCUGCUGCUGCCUGGGCCAUACUACCCGUCUUGCUACUGGCGAUGGCGGCAGCAGGUGGCUACCUGAUGUGGAGGAACUGGCAGCUGAAGAACCAGAAAAGCAUGAACUUUGACAACCCAGUCUACCUGAAGACCACAGAAGAAGACCUCAACAUUGACAUCACGAGGCAUGGCGCCAAUGUAGGACACACGUACCCCGCGAUUUCGAUAGUGAGCACAGAGGAUGAUUUAUCCUGAUCGUGUUGGGUCUUUUUUAUUUUUUCACGGUUACACCGCGCCGCCUCGUUCCAGUGCCGACGCUUGACCGUAGCAGCAGCAGCAGACCUUAUAGUACGACCACAUGCCUUCUGAAGUACAUUAAACCACUGUGUGUGGUGAAGAGGAAAUGUUAUUUAUUAUGUAAAUAUUGCAAUGAAUUCUGUCCCGACUGGUUUCGCUCUACAUCCAAAGUUGUAAGGAUUUUUUUUUUUCCAUUAUUUUUGGGCCGCAGACAUUUUCCAGUCAUUUCUUUGCCCCGCCCUCUUUAAGAAGCUUGCUGGCAUCGUGUCACAACAGUUGAGAGGGAUGAAUUGUCAGUUUGAUCUCCUCCUCAUCUGGGCUCCCAGAAUCUGACACGGCGAAUGUUUGAAGGCUGCACAAAACACGAGGGGUCAAGGGUCCUUUAGAAGUAAGGCUUUAAUAAGGAGAGGAUGCGGUCCAGAUUUUAUUUGUUGCUUCCUCAGAUGUGAAUAUUUAUGUACGAUCAUGUUUGGGCAGUAAUAUCUCAAAUCUAAGUUUUCUUUCAUUAAUUUAAGUGUUUUCUUGCCAUCACCACCUCUUAGAAUGCAUUCUUACAGGCUUAUUAUUAUUAUUAUUAUUAUUAUUAUUAUUAUUAUUAUUAUUAUGAUGCUUGUGAAAUAACCAUAGUUACAGCUUUUGUAAACACUGUACAUAUUUGCCCAUCAUCCUUUGGACAUGAUCGUCAAUCAGGACUCUUCAAUGCACUUUGAUCAAAUGCUCCUUGUGUAAAUAAGAUUGUAUACAUUUGACUUGAUCAGUUCUUUUGCUAUGGUUGGGCGUCAUACCAGCGGCUCAAAUGUAUUUAAGAAGGAAAAAACAAAACACAAUGAAUUUGGUAAAACUAUUUUGUAUGUUUGUGCUGUUGCUGUGAACUUUUUCUAGCCUUGUACAAAGAAGGGGGGACACCAAUAAAAUGGGAAGACUCUGUAUCUGUGAAGAAACUGAUCUGCGAAUCACUUCGGAAUUAAAAUUUAAUCCACAACUUUGCUCAGAAAA
This is a non-coding RNA of Neolamprologus brichardi, 1788 nucleotides long. NCBI's taxonomy places the organism in Eukaryota, Metazoa, Chordata, Actinopteri, Cichliformes, Cichlidae. The record is from RefSeq and is a predicted model, not a curated record.